GUUGGUGAGUUCACAAGUUUAUAAAAUCAAGAUUUGGAAUAAGGCUUUUUAUAAAUACAAGUACAUUGCUUUAAUGAGAAACAAGUUUAUUGCUAUUAUUGAUAACAAGUUUAUUGCUAUAACGAGAAACGAGUUUGUAUGUGUAUGAGCAAACAAUGAGUCUCAACCAAACCUAUGACUAAAGCCCUAUCGAGAUCCAUGCUUAUCGUUCCAUAGAUGAAUAUGGUAUCAUGCACUCCAGCAAUAGGGCGAGUGAGGAGUUGUCAAUUCCUAAUAGCGCUAUCCAUAAUGACCAUUGGCUCAAAGAGUUAAUGGUUAGAGAUAAGGGAAGGGCCUUAGUACGAUAAGUUCUCAUGUUCCGUGUUGCAUAAACAUACAUAGAGAGACAUAGCAAUACAAUAGCAAUCAUGUUUGAUACAAAUCAAUUUAAAUACAACAUGCAAAUAAUAGAUUUUUUGGACAUGCUUUUCGACUCCAAAACAUAAAAACUGAAAAUAGGGGAGUGCGUGAAUACUCACAAUGUUUUGUGUAGGUACAAGUAGUGCCUCGGGAUGCACCAACGUCUUACUACCGGGAUCCUACGACAUCAAACACACACUAGUAAGUUUCCAUAUCGAAAUCCAAUGGUAAUAUACUAAACUCUACAUAUAGUGAAAUGCCAAUUUAUGUUUUAGUAUUGGAUUUUAUAUUAAUUGGUUACACUUUUUCAAAUUUUUAAGUCUUUAUAACAACAUAAAUUCACGAAAAAUGGCAUUCAAAGGAUAAAAAUUAUCAAACUUUUUAUUUAACUGUUAUUACACAAUAUUAAGCUGGAAAAAAUAUAAAAAUGGAUUUCCAAGCUGUUUAAUUAUAUUUUAUGAUUUUUGAGCAUUUAUUCAAAUAAAAAUUGAAAUAAAUAGAAAACAUUUGCCAAAAUUACCCAAACUUUUUAUUUAACUGUUAUUGUACAUAAAUAGGCUGGGAAAAAUAUAAAAGAUAUUUUUCAGUGGUUAUUUCUAUUUUUCCUUGUUUUAUUCCUUUAAAUAAUCAUUAAUUGAAUAAUAAAUAAUAAACAGUUAAAAUAAAUUACCCAAAAUUUUUGUAACAUCAUUUACAGUGUAAUUAAUCUGGGAAAAAUACGAAAAGUGGUUUUCAUAUUGUAUAAUCCGGUUUUGGGUAUUUAUGUGUAUUUAGGUGUAUUUAAGUGUAUUUAACUUUAGAAAAUAGGAGAAAAAUAGUUUACUGUAGAGAAAAAUCAUCACAAUUUUUAUGUAACCUCCUACUGUACAACAUGAUGUUCUGCUAAAUUUUCAUGAAUUUUGGAUAAUCAUAACUCUUUUUCCAAUUUUUAGGCCAUUAUAAUUACCAAAAAUUGGGAAAAAUAGUAAGGCAUGAUGAAAAAUUUGGAAAUUAUUUUUCUGAGUCACCCACCACAGGUAAGGGCUGCGAAAAUUGUUAGAAACAAUUUUCACACUCUCUAAUGUGGUUUUGUGAUUUAUUAUACCCAAACAAAAAGAAAAACGGAAAUUAUACCAAACAGCAACAAAAAUCUAAAUAAAUUUAAUGAGGGGUCAUUAUUCACCAUAGGGGUCAUCCAUGAAAUUAUUCAGAUUUAUAGACCUAUGGAAGUAUUUUAUGUGAUUUAUACCUCUGUUUUCUUGCAAUAAUUUUAAUAAAUCAAAGAAAUGAUAAAAACUCUUGGUAUUUUACAGAUUAUCACAUGCAUGUGAGGGCUUUCAAAAGGAAAAUGUUCAAAAUUUAUUCAGAACGGAAAAUAGGGGUAUUGAACCCAAACAAGUUAAGAAAUGUUGCAGAUUAUAGUGCAUGAGAUGUAAAUGUGGCUGAGGUUCAUGAAUUUGAGGAGCACAUUCUAUGUGGUUUUAAGCCACGAAAUUUCAGUCAUCAUUCACUGGAUAUGUUAAGUUUCUAAAUUAUUUUUCCCCAGAUUUAUGGUUGGGUUUAAGGCCACUGAUCACGCAAGGCAAAAAUGGUGAUCACAGAAAAAGAGCUGUUCGCGCAACCAUUUUGUAAAAAUUGCCAAAAAUCCGAUAUUUAAUAUUUUACAGUGAGACCAGUUGGGUUUGAAAGCUAACUCGUGGAACUAUCCAAUACAAAAAUAAUAUCAGGAUUUGGUUAAGUAAUGACCGAGUUAUGGCCGCUCAAAGCUGAACAAUGUAGUCUGGCAGAUUGCAUGUCUUCCCUGUUUGCUUUGAGUGCAUUCUUAGGGCAUUUUGACAAGAACAACAUGCAUGCUUCUGUUAAGGUCCGAUUUCUAGCACAUGCAUGGAGUGAAUGAGCAUCCAAGAUGUACUAGAAAUGGUUUAAAUGCUUUUGGUCAUGCAAGAACACAAAAGAAAUGGAGAAGAAGAUGUAAUACUCGGUUUUGAAGUCACAUGAACACAUGUGCAUCUUUUUCACUCCUUGCAUGGGUUUGAUCCCGGAUUUUCACCAUCUCAAACACAUGCAUUGUGUUAUGGUGAGAAUCUACAAACCACAAGGGAAAAAGUAAGGAUUUCUAGCCAUGGAAGGGCAUAGAAUCCGAAGAGUAGAGAAGAACCAUGAAGAAGAGGAAGUAAAAUCAUGAAACUAUGAGGGAGGAUUGUGUUGUUUACCUUGGUUUUGAUCUUGAGAGAAGCAAGAACACUUCAAGGCCUUCUCAAUUUCGAAAUUAUGGCAGAGAAUGGAGGAUUUUAUUGAGUUAGAGAGAGAGAGAGGAAGAGAGCUUGAGUGUUAGAUGGGUGGAGUGUGAGAGAAAGUGAAGAGAGAAGUGGAAGAGUGAGGGUUUGAGUUUAAUGAUUGAAUUUUUGGGAAGAUGAAAGCAUGGGGGAGAGAGGGUGCCAGAUUUUUGAGGGUAUUAAAGUGCAUAUGAGUCAAAGUUUAUCUGUUCCUUCUAGCAAUAAAAGCGAUAUCUGGGUGUCACACCCCACUAAAGCGGAAACGCAAGAUAUGACAGCGAUAACGGUUUCAUUGCAAAAGAUAAAGAUACAUCACCAUAGCAAUAUUUAAAAGUUUACAACCCAUAGCUUAAACAAAACAAAGUACAAGUUUUUCCAAAAUAACAUUGUUCAAAAUAUAACUUCAAAAAUAACUUCAACACGAUGCAGCAUGCUCUAUGACGAUGAAUCUUUAUAUCGACUUACUAAUUAUUUCCUGAAAAAGCAUGUAAAACGAGCGUCAGCUAUGUAAAUAGUUGGUGAGUUCACAAGUUUAUAAAAUCAAGAUUUGGAAUAAGGCUUUUCAUAAAUACAAGUACAUUGCUUUAAUGAGAAACAAGUUUAUUGCUAUUAUUGAUAACAAGUUUAUUGCUAUAACGCGAAACGAGUUUGUAUGUGUAUGAGCAAACAAUGAGUCUUAACCAAACCUAUGACUGAACCCUAUCAAGAUCUAUGCUUAUCGUUCCAUAGAUGAAUAUGGUAUCAUGCACUCCAACAAUAGGGUGAGUGAGGAGUUGUCAAUUCCAAAUAGCGCUAUCCAUAAUGACCAUUGGCUCAAAGAGUUAAUGGUUAGAGAUAAGGGAAGGGCCUUAGUAGUAUAAGUUCUCAUGUUCCGUGUUGCAUAGACAUACAUANCUUCUGUCACACCCCGCUAAAGCGGAAACGCAAGGUAUGACAGCGAUAACGGUUUCAUUGCAAAAGAUAAAGAUACAUCACCAUAGCAGUAUUUAAAAGUUUACAACCCAUAGCUUCAAAAGAAACAAAAUACAAGUUUUUGCAAAAUAACACUAUUCAAAGAUAACUUCAUAAAUAACUUCAACACGAUGCAGCAUGCUCUAUGAUGAUGAAUCUUUAUAUCCACUUACUAAUUAUUUCCUGAAAAAGCAUGUAAAACGAGCGUCAACUAUGAAAAUAGUUGGCGAGUUCACAAGUUUAUAAAUCGAGCUUGAAAUAAGGCUUUUCGUAAAUACAAGUACAUUUCUUUAAUGAUAAACAAAGUUGAUUGCUAUUAAUGAAUACAAGUUUAUUGUUGUAACGAGAAACGAUUUUGUAUGUAUAUGAGCAAACAAUGAGUCUCAACCAAACCUAUGACUGAAUCCCUAUCGAGAUCUAUGCUUAUCGUUCCAUAGAUGAAUAUGGUAUCAUGCACUCCAGCAAUAGGGCGAGUGAGGAGUUGUCAAUUCCUAAUAGCGCUAUCCAUAAUGACCAUUGGCUCAAAGAGUUAAUGGUUAGAGAUAAGGGAAGGGCCUUAGUACGAUAAGUUCUCAUGUUCCAUGUUGCAUAGACAUACAUAGAGAGACAUAGCAAUACAAUAGCAAGCAUGUUUGAUACAAAUCAAUUUAAAUACAACAUGCAAAUAAUAGAUUUUCUGGACAUGCUUUUCGACGCCAAAACAUAAAAACUAAAAAUAGGGGAGUGCGUGAAUACACACAAUGUUUCGUGUAGGUACAAGUAGUGCCUCGGGAUGCACCAACGUCUUACUACCGGGAUUCUACGACGUCAAACACACACUAGUGAGUUUUCAUAUCGAAAUCUAAUGCUAAUAUACUAAACUCUACAUAUAGUGAAAUGCCAAUUUAUGUUUUAGUAUUGAAUUUUAUAUUAAUUGGUUACACUUUUUCAAAUUUUUAAGUCUUUAUAACAACAUAAAUUCACGAAAAAUGGCAUUCAAAGGAUAAAAAUUAUCAAACUUUUUAUUUAACUGUUAUUACACAAUAAUAAGCUGGAAAAGAUAUAAAAAUGGAUUUCCAAGCUGUUUAAUUAUAUUUUAUGAUUUUUGAGCAUUUAUUCCAAUAAAAAUUGAUAUAAAUAGAAACCAGUUUCCAAAAUUACCCAAACUGUUUAUUUAACUGUUAUUAUACAUAACUAGGCUAGGAAAAUAUAAAAGAUAUUUUUCAGUGGGUAUUUCUAUUUUUCCUUGUUUUCUUCCUUUAAAUAAUCAUUAAUUGAAAAAUAAAUAUUAAACAGUUAAAAUAAAUUACCAAAAAUUUUUGUAACAUCAUUUACAGUGUAAUUAAUCUGGGAAAAAUACGAAAAGUGGUUUUCAUAUUGUAUAAUCCGGUUUUGGGUAUUUAUGUGUAUUUAGGUGUAUUUAAGUGUAUUUAACUUUAGAAAAUAGGAGAAAAAUAGUUUGUAGUAGAGAAAAAUCAUCAAAAUUUUUAUGUAACCUCCUACUGUACAACAUGAUUUUCUGGUAAAUUGUCAUGAAUUUUGGAUAAUCAGAACUGUUUUUCCUAUUUUUAGGCCAUUAUAAUUACCAAAAAUUGGUAUAAAUAGUAAGGCAUGAUGAAAAAUUUGGAAAUUAUUUUUCUGAGUCACCCACUACAGGUAAGGGCUGCGAAAAUUGUUAGAUACAAUUUUCACACUCUCUAAUGUGGUUUUGUGAUUUAUUAUACCCAAACAAAAAGAAAAACGGAAAUUAUACCAAACAGAAACAAAAAUCUAAGAAAUUUAAUGAGGGGUCAUUACUCACCAUAGGGGUCAUACAUGAAUUUAUUCCGGAUUUAUAGACCUCUGGAAGUAUUUUAUGUGAUUUAUGCACUUGUUUUCUUGCAAUAAUUUUAAUAAAUCAAAGAAAUGAUAAAAGCUCUUGGUAUUUUACAGAUUAUCACAUGCAUGUGAGGGCUUUCAAAAGGAAAAAUGUUCAAAAUUUAUUCAGAAGGGAAAAUAGGGGUAUUGAACGCAAACAAGUUAAGAAAUGUUGCAGAUUAUAGUUCAUGAGAUGUAAAUGUGGCUGAGGUUCAUGAAUUUGAGUAGCACAUUCUGUGGGGUUUUAAGCCACGAAAUUUCAGCCAUAAUUCACUGGAUAUGUUAAGUUUCUAAAUUAUUUUUCCCCAGAUUUAUGGUUGGGUUAAAGGCCACUGAUCACACAAGGCAAAAAUGGUGAUCACAGAAAAAGAGCUGUUCGCGCAACCAUUUUGUAAAAAUUGCCAAAAAUACGAUAUUUAAUAUUUUACAGUGAGUCAAGUUGGGUUUGAAAGUUAACUCGUGGAACUAUCCAAUACAAAUAUAAUAUCAGGAUUUGGUUAAGUAAUAACCGAGUUAUGGCCGUUCAAAGCUGAACAAAGUAGUCUGGCAGAUUGCAUGUCUUCCCUGUUUGCUUUGAGUGCAUUCUUAGGGCAUUUUGACAAGAACAACAUGCAUGCUUCUGUUAAGGUCCGAUUUCUAGAACAUGCAUGGAGUAAAUGAGCAUCCAAGAUGUACUAGAAAUGGUUUAAAUGCUUUUGGUCAUGCAAGAACACAAAAGAAAUGGAGAAGAAGGUGUAAUACUCGGUUUUGAAGUCACAUGAAAACAUGUGCAUCUUUUUCACUCCUUGCAUGGGUUUGAUCCCCGAUUUUCACCAUCUCAAACACAUGCAUUGUGUUAUGGUGAGAAUCUACAACCACAAGGGAAAAAGUAAGGAUUUCUAGCCAUAGAAGGGCAUAGAAUCCGAAGAGUAGAGAAGAACCAUGAAGAAGAGGAAGUAAAAUCAUGAAACUAUGAGGGAGGAUUGUGUUGUUUACCUUGGUUUUGAUCUUGAGAGAAGCAAGAACACUUCAAGGCCUUCUCAAUUUCGAAAUUAUGGCAGAGAAUGGAGGAUUUUAUUGAGUUAGAGAGAGAGAGAGAGGAAGAGAUCUUGAGUGUUAGAUGGGUGGAGUGUGAGCGAAAGUGAAGAGAGAAGUGGAAGAGUGAGGGUUUGAGUUUAAUAAUUGAAUUUUUGGGAAGAUGAAAGCAUGGGGGAGAGAGGGUGCCGGAUUUUUGAGGGUAUUAAAGUGCAUAUGAGUCAAAGUUUAUCUGUUCCUUCUAGCAAUAAAAGCGAUAUCUGGGUGUCACACCCCACUAAAGCGGAAACGCAAGAUAUGACAGCGAUAACGGUUUCAUUGCAACAGAUAAAGAUACAUCACCAUAGCAAUAUUUAAAAGUUUACAACCCAUAGCUUAAACAAAACAAAGUACAUGUUUUUCCAAAUUGUUCAAAAUAUAACUUCAUAAAUAACUUCAUAAAUAACUUCAUAAAUAACUUCAACACGAUGCAACAUGCUAUUUGAUGAUGAAUCUUUAUAUCGACUUACUAAUUAUUUCCUGAAAUAGCAUGUAAAAUGAGCGUCAACUAUGUAAAUAGUUGAUGAGUUUACAAGUUUAUAAAAUCAAGAUUCGGAAUAAGGCUUUUUAUAAAUACAAGUACAUUGCUUUAAUGAGAAACAGGUUUAUUGCUAUUAUUGAUAACAAGUUUAUUGCUAUAACGAGAAACGAGUUUGUAUGUGUAUGAGCAAACAAUGAGUCUCAACCAAACCUAUGACUGAAGCCUUAUCAAGAUCUAUGCUUAUCGUUCCAUAGAUGAAUAUGGUAUCAUGCACUCCAGCAAUAGGGCGAGUGAGGAGUUGUCAAUUCCUAAUAGCGAUAUCCAUAAUGACCAUUGGCUCAAAGAGUUAAUGUUUAGAGAUAAGGGAAGGACCUUAGUACGAUAAGUUUUCAUGUUUCGUGUUGCAUAGACAUACAUAGAGAGACAUAGCAAUACAAUAGCAAUCAUGUUUGAUACAAAUCAUUUUAAAUACAACAUGCAAAUAAUAGUUUUUCUGGACAUGCUUUUCCACCCCGAAACAUAAAAACUGAAAGUAGGGAAUGCGUGAAUAGUCACAAUGUUUCGAGUAGGUACAAGUGGUGCCUCGGAAUACACCAACGUCUUACUACCAGGAUCCUACGACAUCAAACACACACUAGUGAGUUUCCAUGUCGAAAUCUAAUGCUAAUAUACUAAACUCUACAUAUAGAGAAAUGCCAAAUUUAUGUUCUAAUAUCGGUUUUAUAUUAAUUGGUUACAAUUUGUCUAAUAUGAUGAAAAUCUAUAAGUCAUGUGAUUAAGACAAUUUUGGAUAUUAAUUUUUCAGAUUUAGUAAUAUAAAUUGAGGGUAUUUCAACACAUUUAAAGGUGUUUUAAAUUCCUAAAAAUUUAAAAUAUUAUCAAACAGUUUCCAAAAAUUGUCAAACCUUGUAUUGUCAUUCUAAAU
Molecule: long non-coding RNA, 7900 nt
Filed under: Lactuca sativa (garden lettuce)
Lineage: Eukaryota; Viridiplantae; Streptophyta; Magnoliopsida; Asterales; Asteraceae
Description: long non-coding RNA (LSAT_LNC001358)
Source: RNAcentral